UACAGAGGGGGCAAGCGUUGUUCGGAAUUACUGGGCGUAAAGGGCGCGUAGGCGGCCUGUUAAGUCGAACGUGAAAUCCCCGGGCUCAACCCGGGAACUGCGUCCGAUACUGGCAGGCUUGAAUCCGGGAGAGGGAUGCGGAAUUCCAGGUGUAGCGGUGAAAUGCGUAGAUAUCUGGAGGAACACCGGUGGCGAAGGCGGCAUCCUGGACCGGCAUUGACGCUGAGGCGCGAAAGCGUGGGGAACAAACAGG
RNAcentral lists this ribosomal RNA (253 nucleotides) under uncultured bacterium. Its description in RNAcentral is "partial 16S ribosomal RNA". It matches the Rfam family "Bacterial small subunit ribosomal RNA", at positions 524 to 776 of the family's 1533-position model. The record is from RNAcentral.